This 84-nucleotide transfer RNA is filed under the name Sinisalibacter aestuarii. RNAcentral describes it as "tRNA-Leu". It matches the Rfam family "tRNA". From Rfam's summary of the family: Transfer RNA (tRNA) molecules are approximately 80 nucleotides in length. Their secondary structure includes four short double-helical elements and three loops (D, anti-codon, and T loops). Lineage: Bacteria; Pseudomonadati; Pseudomonadota; Alphaproteobacteria; Rhodobacterales; Roseobacteraceae. The record is from RNAcentral.
GCCCGCGUGGUGGAACGGUAGACACAGGGGACUUAAAAUCCCCAGCCCUCGGGCGUGCGGGUUCGAAUCCCGCCGCGGGUACCA